This 491-nucleotide unclassified non-coding RNA is filed under the name Hevea brasiliensis (rubber tree). The record is from RNAcentral. Lineage: Eukaryota; Viridiplantae; Streptophyta; Magnoliopsida; Malpighiales; Euphorbiaceae.
CAUAGUCUCCUGUUCAUUCUCUACAGUUGAAUCCUCAUCAUUAUUCUGGUUCCUUGAAUUUUUUUCAGGAGAACUAUAUAUAAUAAUUACUCUAUCAUCUGAACCAGGAACUGAAUCGGCAACUGUAAUCUUGGCUUGUGUCUCUUCCCUUAAGGCCUUUACUAUGCUUCCACCCUUUCCAAUGACACCCCCAAUUUUUCGUGAAGGACAGAGUAUUCGAUAAACAGUAUCGACACGAUGUGAAUUCCCUGAAGAUUCUUCAUGGCUAGAAUUUGUCCACUUUCCUCUUCUAUUGACCCCUUUCCGCUUGAAUUGAUUUUUUUGAUGUUUCUUAAAAAAUUUUCGCUUGUUCCCAUCCAUACUGCCACAGAAACUAAGAAGGAAGUGGCACCUGGUUUGUCCUGUAAGAGAGAGGCAGUGUGUAUUUAUGGCGAAGUCUGUGUUGUAUUUGCUAGAUUUGUGAGGGAGAGAGUUAAUUGGCACUCGCCAAC